ACGUGACGUCAUAACCCUGCGACAGCACUCGGAGAGGUUAACCGGCUUAAUGUUGUGUUCAGGUCGAGAUCAAAUGAGUUGAUAGAUAAGAUUAUAACACUCAUUUUAACAGCUAUUAAGACACUUUAUUUCAUGAGUAAACAGACUGCAGGCUGUAAAGGUGAAGGAUGCAGCGGGUGUUUUGUUCCCGGUGGGUUAUUUCCGGUGUGUCCUUGGCAGUCGGUGUCGCUCUGAGCAGCGCUUCGAACCGCUUUGGUCCUGAAGAUGAGCUCCUCCGGAGAGUCCCGGUCAUCCUGAUGCCCAGCGUCAGCGCAGAGUCUGAAGUCAUCCCGUACCAGUAUGGCCAGUUAACCCCGAGCAAAUCCACAGCAGCGGUGAAGUACGGCUUCCCGUCUCUGUCUCAGAUCAGAUCCCGGGAGUCUUACGUGAGCUGUUAUGACCCGCGGAACAAAACUCCAGUCUGGGUGAUCGAGCAGCUCAGUGCGGACACACUGUGCGGAACAUCCGACCGGAAGCUGUGCGACUUUAAGGAGGAUGACUCGGUGCAUGUGUACCACCGAGCAGCGAACAGCGACUACAAGGGUAGUGGCUUUGACAGGGGACACCUGGCUGCUGCUGCCAAUCAUAAAUGGAGCCAGAAGGCCAUGGAUGACACUUUCUACCUCAGCAACGUGGCACCACAGAAUCCUCACCUAAACCAGAACGCGUGGAACAAUUUGGAGAAGUACUGCCGCUCUCUUACUAAACACUACAAGAACGUGUACGUGUGCUCGGGGCCGCUUUAUCUGCCCAGGCAGGAGCCUGAUGGGAAGAUGUACGUGAGGUAUCAGGUGAUCGGGAAGAACCACGUGGCAGUUCCCACACACUUCUUUAAGGUAGUGAUUCUGGAGAAGCAGCGUGGCGAGGUGGAGCUACGACCCUACGUGAUGCCCAACACACCCGUCGAUGAGAAGAUCCCACUCGAGCGCUUCCUGGUGCCCAUCGAGAGCAUCGAGAAAGCAUCGGGUCUGCUGUUCAUCCCCAACAUCCUAAAGAGGACCAACAGCCUGCAGGCCAUUACUGCCAGGGUCUGAUCAUCUCUACACACGGGAAAAAAAUCCUGUUGCUACAAAAUCCAUGGUCACUGACAGCUAGCCGCUGUGUCCGGGGAUCAGGUCGUCGAGGCCCCUGCCUUCGACUGCCGCCCAAUCCACACUGCACCAGUCCCCUACUGCUACCUCUGUGGGUGGUGAACCCACAGGAGGUCGGGCCCACGUCACCUCUUCGGGCUGAGCCCGGCCGGGCCCCAUGGGCAAGCGCACGCAUACGAGCCCCAACCCCGGGCCUGGCUCCAGGGUGGGGCCCCGGCUGCGCCAUACCGGGCGACGUCACGGUCCUCGAUUGUUUCUCCAUAAGGGUUUUGGUGAACUGCUCUUGGUCUGGCCUGUCACGGAUACAAGCGGCCGAAAUGAGUUUCCUUCGCAGGGUGGCUGGGCGCUCCCUUAGAGAUAGGGUGAGAAGCACAGUCACUCGGGAGGAGCUCGGAGUAGAGCCGCUGCUCCUCCACAUCGAGAGGAAUCAGCUGAGGUGGCUCGGGCAUCUCUUUCGGAUGACUCCUGGACGCCUCCCUGGGGAGGUGUUCCAGGCAUGUCCCCCCGGGAGGAGGCCCCGGGAAGACCCAGGACACGCUGGAGGGACUAUGUCUCUCGGCUGGCCUGGGAAUGCCUCGGUGUUCUUCCCAAAGAGCUGGCCAAGGUGUCUGGGGAAAGGGAAGUUUGGGCUUCCAUGCUUAGACUGCUGCCUCCGCGACCCGGUCCCGGAUAAAGCGGAAGAAGACAAGACGAGACGUAUCUGAAUCCUGAUUCAGACUUUGGGGUUAUUACACAUUAGGGUGCAUCAGUUGCCCUCUAAAAAUGAAAAGUUCCUCCGAUCAUGAUGCAUUUUUGUUUUUAUGUUCCUUUUGGUAAGAAAGCACACUGGGUGAAAUAUUUUGACAAAAUUCAAAAGUUUAAUGGUGGCACCAGGAGCUCAAAGUUAUG
RNA transcript from Neoarius graeffei (lesser salmon catfish), 2018 nucleotides. It is a transcript of the gene named endonuclease G, with no coding region annotated. NCBI's taxonomy places the organism in Eukaryota, Metazoa, Chordata, Actinopteri, Siluriformes, Ariidae. The transcript is spliced from 4 exons. The record is from RefSeq and is a predicted model, not a curated record.